RNAcentral lists this ribosomal RNA (878 nucleotides) under uncultured bacterium. Its description in RNAcentral is "bacterial SSU rRNA". It matches the Rfam family "Bacterial small subunit ribosomal RNA", at positions 505 to 1397 of the family's 1533-position model. The record is from RNAcentral.
GUGCCAGCAGCCGCGGUAAUACGUAGGUGGCAAGCGUUAUCCGGAAUUAUUGGGCGUAAAGAGUGAGCAGGCGGUUGAUUAAGUCUGAGGUUAAAGCGUGGGGCUCAACCCCAUAAAGCCUUGGAAACUGAUCGACUAGAGUACGGGAGAAGUGAAGGGAACUCCAUGUGUAGCGGUGAAAUGCGUAGAUAUAUGGAAGAACACCAGUGGCGAAGGCGCUUCACUAGCCCGAAACUGACGCUCAGUCACGAAAGCGUGGGUAGCAAAUAGGAUUAGAUACCCUAGUAGUCCACGCUGUAAACGAUGAUAACUAAAUAUUGCCGCGAGGCAGUGUUGAAGCUAACGCAUUAAGUUAUCCGCCUGGGGAGUACGGUCGCAAGACUGAAACUUAAAGGAAUUGACGGGGACCCGCACAAGCAGUGGAGCAUGUGGUUUAAUUCGACGCAACGCGAAGAACCUUACCAGGGCUUGACAUAUUGAUUACUACCUUCUAAGAGAUUAGAAGAGACUAUAAAUACAGGUGGUGCAUGGUUGUCGUCAGCUCGUGUCGUGAGAUGUUGGGUUAAGUCCCGCAACGAGCGCAACCCCUUUCCUUAGUUGCCAUCAUUCAGUUGGGAACUCUAAGGAUACUGCCGAUGUAAGUCGGAGGAAGGUGGGGAUGACGUCAAAUCAUCAUGCCCUUUAUGUCCUGGGCGACACACGUGCUACAAUGGCCGGUACAAAGAGACGCGAAUCCGCGAGGAGGAGCAAAUCCCAUAAAGCCGGUCUCAGUUCGGAUUGGAGUCUGCAACUCGACUCCAUGAAGCUGGAAUUGCUAGUAAUCGCGAAUCAGCCAUGUCGCGGUGAAUACGUUCCCGGGUCUUGUACACACCGCCCGU